UACGUAGGUGGCAAGCGUUGUCCGGAAUUACUGGGUGUAAAGGGAGCGCAGGCGGGCUUGCAAGUCAGCUGUGAAAUUCAAGGGCUUAACCCUUGACAUGCAGUUGAAACUGCAGGUCUUGAGUGAAGUAGAGGUAGGCGGAAUUCCGAGUGUAGCGGUAAAAUGCGUAGAUAUUCGGAGGAACACCGGUGGCGAAGGCGGCCUACUGGGCUUUUACUGACGCUGAGGCUCGAAAGUGUGGGGAGCAAACAGG
RNAcentral lists this ribosomal RNA (253 nucleotides) under uncultured bacterium. Its description in RNAcentral is "partial 16S ribosomal RNA". It matches the Rfam family "Bacterial small subunit ribosomal RNA", at positions 524 to 776 of the family's 1533-position model. The record is from RNAcentral.